UCAGGCCUAACACAUGCAAGUCGAGGGGUAACAAUGCUGCUUGCAGCAGCUGACGACCGGCGCACGGGUGCGUAACGCGUAUGCAACCUACCUUAUACAGAGGGAUAGCCCGGAGAAAUUCGGAUUAAUACCUCAUGGUAAUCUAAUAUCGCAUGAUUUUAGAUUUAAAGAUUUAUCGGUAUAAGAUGGGCAUGCGUAGUAUUAGCUAGUUGGUGGGGUAAUGGCUCACCAAGGCAACGAUACUUAGGGGUUCUGAGAGGAUAGUCCCCCACACUGGUACUGAGACACGGACCAGACUCCUACGGGAGGCAGCAGUGAGGAAUAUUGGUCAAUGGACGCAAGUCUGAACCAGCCAUGUCGCGUGCAGGAUGACUGCCCUAUGGGUUGUAAACUGCUUUUUUACAGGAAUAAUUAUAGAUACGUGUAUUUAUUUGAAUGUACUGUAGGAAUAAGGAUCGGCUAACUCCGUGCCAGCAGCCGCGGUAAUACGGAGGAUUCGAGCGUUAUCCGGAUUUAUUGGGUUUAAAGGGUCCGUAGGCGGGCUUAUAAGUCAGUGGUGAAAUCUUGCGGCUCAACCGUAAAACUGCCAUUGAUACUGUAGGUCUUGAAUCUAGUUGAGGUAGGCGGAAUAAGAUAUGUAGCGGUGAAAUGCAUAGAUAUAUCUUAGAACUCCAAUUGCGAAGGCAGCUUACUAAACUAG
RNAcentral lists this ribosomal RNA (700 nucleotides) under uncultured Bacteroidota bacterium. Its description in RNAcentral is "bacterial SSU rRNA". It matches the Rfam family "Bacterial small subunit ribosomal RNA", at positions 42 to 737 of the family's 1533-position model. Lineage: Bacteria; Pseudomonadati; Bacteroidota. The record is from RNAcentral.